GAAAUUAAUGUGAGAAGCCAAAUCCUGAAUAAUCCAUAGCGUCCUCAUUUUCUUUUUGACGAUGUUGUGACUUCCUAACUAUGCCUGUGCAAAAAAAGAAAUUGUGCUGAAGAGCAAAAAUUAUUUGGUCCAGCCUUCAAACUGUCAUUUACAUUAUUUUAAACAGUAUAUUUGGUUGAGGAAACCCUGGUGGUGCAGUGGUUAAGAGCUUGGCUGCUAACCAAAAGGUUGGCGGUUAGAAUCUACCAGGCACCCCUUGGAAACCCUGUGGGCCAAUGCUACUCUCUUCAACAGGGUUGCUAUGAGUCAGAAUUGACUUGAUGGCAAUGGGUUUGGUUUUUUCUUUUUUAUAUUUGGUUGAGUUGUUCAUUUGUUUUUGCACUAUCUACUUGGGGAGAAGUCUAUAUUUAACUAGAUAAGACAGAAGGCACUGAGUUUAUACAAAGGUUUAGAAUUCAACCAAUUGAACACUAGUCUCGAUUUUACCAGUAAUUCUGUUUUCAGUUUUUCAACCAAGUUUCAACUGGGUGUUGGGGCCAUGUGGACUCUUUUUUGAUGACACGAAGUGAUAUAUGCACCAAGAACAUUCCAAGUCUGAGUCCACUGGGUGUGAAAAGGGCAGAGUGCGCCAGUGCCUAUGGUUGCAGGGAAAAUCAGCCUGGCCUCUCACUUGGUACAGAGUAGACCAACCUAUCAGUCAGUAGCACGGUUUCUUCUCACUUGGCUGUUUCGGUGCUGUUAUUAGCACUGGCGUGGUCAUCGUAGCAUAGUUAACAGACUUACCUGGCAACCACCUCAGUUUUCAUUUUCUUAUUGAAGAGCCCUUGUGGCACACUGAUUAAAGCAAUUGACUGCUAACUGAAAGGUCAGUGGUUCAAAACCACCCGUCACUCCAUGGGAGAAAGAUGUGGCAGUCUGCUGCUAUAGAGAUUUACAGCCUUGGAUACUCUAUAGGGUUGCUAUGAGUUGGAAUCGACUGGACAACAAUGGGUUAGUGGGUUUUAUUGAGGCCUUGGCUUGGUCUCCUAGGAAUGGCUCCUUUUAACCUAACGGACAAGGAAGUAGAUGUGAUAGUUGUUAAAAAAUAAAAAAAAAGUACAUUUUAAUGGAAAAAUGAGGUAUUUUCCAUUGUGGUAAAGUGUCUUUUUUUUUAAAUCAUAAAAUUGCUCAAAAGAGGAAGCAAAAAGCGGAACAUCUAUUCAUUUGUUUUAACUGGAGUCCGUAAAAUGAGUUCUUGAGAAAGCUAGCAGGCAUCUAUUUUGAAGAAUAAUGAUUUCUUUCUGGCAUCCAAAUAUUGUAUCAUUUCCAGAGUAUAAUUAGCUCCCAUAAUGAUCUGAAUUUAUAAAUAUGACUACACAUAAAAAAAAAAAAAACCUAAUAGCCACGUGAGGAGUUUCAACAUGACAACAUGAGAGCAAUAGAGAUAGAGAGAGAAAGUGAGAAUGACUAUCAGCAGAUGUGAUUGCUCAAAUGACAGGAUCAGAGCCUCUUAAGAGCAGGACAAGAGCUCGCCUUUGUGGCCAGGUAAUUGAUACCAGAAAGGUAUUGUUUCAACAGGUAGGCGACCCAAGGUCAUUUCUUAAUAACAAGGCAUUUCUUAGCAACUCUUGUAGUCCAGAAGUGGAUAUGGAUGUUGGGGUACACUCAUGCAAGAACAUAGGAUCAGAUCAGACAUGUUAUUGAGAGAGAUCUUCCAUGUUCAGAAUACUCCCUAGCUGAGAAAGUACUUUGACUACAGAUUAUAAAUCAUGUCUGUUCCACGCAGAGAGGACAGCUAAGCUUUGGGGCUACAAAAUGUUGAAAACCACUGUAUAGAUGCCAGCUACAACAUCCAACCACCAGUCUGCCACCAGCAAUGUCAGAGAAAGCGGAAGGGAGGCAGACGUGGUCGAUACCCAGCUGGAAAUUAUGGUACUACCAAGACUUCCAAUGAGGUAAGUGGUUGGGGUGUGGGGCAUUUGCUAUGCUCUCCUUGAAGUUCCGUUCUGAGUUCUGCCAGACCUGGCUUGAGACCGUUUUUCUCUCUGAGCUAACUAUCUAAUAUUAUGGUGGCCAUGGCAGUGUCACCAACCACAGCAAAGUGGCCAGUUUGAGAGUGAGAACCUUCCCUAUCUAAAGGUUUCUGAUUGUCAGGUCUCAUCCUCUUUUCCUUUUCCCAAGCAGUUUCUUCUCUGAGUAUGAAUCUAAAGGUUUUCUAGGUUGUCCAUAGUAAUGAAGCAUUGUUUGGAACUCCUUAAAAGAGCUGAUGAAGACUGCAGUUGGCACUGGGAACCCACUCUUGAGUUGGUGGCCCCUGCUGGUAGUUUCUCCAAGUUCCACUCCAGGAAAUUCUGAAGGAAAGCCCACUUAUUAGAUGCAUUAAAAGUCAUGUUACUCCAAAAAUGAACUUGUCAUGAGCAUGCACACGUGGUAAGUGACAUACAUUGAGCCUCUUCUAUGUGCUAGGUUCUUUUCACCAUCUCAUUUAAUUCAAAAAACAGAAAGUCAAAGAAUAUAUUGUUAUCAGCGAGAAUGUAAGCUCCGUGAGAGCAGGAACUUGGAUUAUUGAGUUCAAUUACAUAUACUGAGCACUUGGCACAUUUACCUUUACAGUGAUUUAAUAAACAUUACCCUUCUGGAUGAAGAUCGAAUAUUCUACCAAGUUCAUCCAGCUAGAUCGUGGCAGAGGAGGGAAUCAGCCUACUGCCCUGUGGAGGUUUCAUGCUAUGGCCGGCUAGAGAGAAGAGAGCAGAGAGACAUGGGGACCUCAUACCACCAAGAAAGCAGUCCUGGGAGCAGAGCACGUCCUUUGGACCUGAGGUUCCUGCUCUGAGAUGCUCUUAGACCAAGGCAAGACUGAUGACAAGGACCUUCCUCCAGAGGAGACAUGGAGAGAAAGCCUUCCCCUGGAGCCAGCGCUGAAUUCGGACUUCUAGCCUACUGGACUGUGAGAGAAUACACUUCUCUUUGUGAAAACCAUCCACUUGUGGUAUUUCUGUUACAGCAGCGCUAGAUGACUAAGACAGCACCUGUUUUGCAGUAUUUUGUAUUCCAGGCACUCUCCUAGGCUCUAGGAGUACAAUGGAACUUGGAGUCUAUGAGGGAGACAGACAUUAAUCAAGUCAUCCCAGUAAACGAAUGCCUUUGCACUUAACACCUCUGUGAACUCUGUGACCAAACACCCUCAUCUGGAAGGCCCAUUCAGAGGUGGCUGAGCAGGCUGCCAAACUCAGCCUCUGAACGCUAUGAUUUCGCCAUUAUAAAUGCUUCUUUUCCCUCCCUGACAGCUGGAAUUCAAUGCUCAGAGGCGUUUGGAUUAGAUUUGAACUGCUUAGUCAAAUCUUAGUCAUCUAUCUCUCCACACACAGACAGACUCUCUAACACAGGGAAAGGUGUUUGUUUGAGCCCAGAGGAUCAACCAAAGGGAAAGGCUUGAAUCACAACACCCCAACUUAGAGUUAGGUUCAGCAGGCCACGGAGGGAAGCAGGAGCCCAUCAUUGUGUUGGCUAACGGACCCCGUUGUCUGGAGUGUUCUCCACAGACAUUCCCCUGAGGCAAGUUCUUCCUAUAGUACUGUCCCAAGUAAAACCUUUCUGAGGUUCACCCUCAAGUUCAAAGUUACAGUGUUAUUUAGUACUCAUCAUGGAUGGCCGCAAUAUGUGGUUGUCUUGCACAUGUGGGUGCACUUGCUUAAAGCAUUGAUUUGUUUGUCCAUAGAUAAAAAUUUUCUGGGUUUGGUGGACAUUUGCUAUUUUUGUCUGCUCAGUAUCUCUGCUACUUUUGGGAAAUAACUAUAGCUAGCCCUCGGUCCCCUCCCAGCCACAGGAGUGGGCAAUGAUCCAGGCAAGGCCAGCCAUGGCUACCCACCAAGGAUGGACUUCUGACCCAAGCAGGGGUGGGUUACUUCCCUGGAUUGGCAAAGAGAAGUCCCUUUUCUGCUGUGAGGCUAGGAAUCUGUGGUUAUGUGUAGCCACCUUCUCUGCGACACGGUGCCUGUCUAAAGAAGGAAACAAAUAUACAGAAGAGGAAGCAAAUGGUGGAGAUGUGGCCUUGUCCUUAUGAUUGGAGUCCCUGAAGCUAUGCCUGAACCUCUCCUAGAUACCUAAGUCAAAUUCCACUUUCUGCUUAACCUAGUUUGAUUUUAGUUUCUGUUACUUAUAAGCAAUAAUGUCAUUAUAUCGACAAGCACCCAGUAGUGUGUUAACCACUGGGGACACAAAAACGAGUAUCGUAAGUAGCAGAACCAAAGUACAGGCAGAGAGCUAUGGGAAAAUAGUAGGGGAGAGAGAUUAUGCUGUAGAAGUAUUGAGAGUUUCUAAACAAAGGUGUUACAUGAUAAAAUUCGUGUUUACUCUGGCUAUACUGUGGAGGGUGAAUUGGAAAAAGGAUAGCCAGGUAUGGAUGGUGCAGUUGGAGUCAUCAAAGUGUUUUAAGGCCUUAAAUCUCACCAGUGUAAGAUUCUAGCAAUUGAUAGCCAGGUCUACACAAUAUGUAGGGAUCCCUGUGGUUUUAGUGUUAUUGGAAUUGAUUUGAAAGCAUGGCCAUUUAGCUACGUCUUAUUUUGAAUUCAUGCCUCAUUGUAAUUUCUCAACACAGCAGUCAUAUACUUUGAAAAUCUUAUUUUACUCUUCUUCUGUCCAGACUUGUGUCUAAGACUUUAAAUUCUACACUCGAGUGAAAAUUGUUCUUCUUUCAGAGCGUUUUACUUGCUUUGCUUUUUGAUUUUAAGCUAUGUUGUGCAUUUCCUGAGGUGUAAUGGUUGACUCUCUACUCACUACUCAGCAAAUGAAACAUCCCUACCAAGAAUAUUAAUGGCAGGGAACACAUUUUACUGAUUUAGUGCCACCGUAACAAAUUGUCAGAAACUUCGUGGCUAAAGACAACAUGUAUUUAUUAUUUUAUAGAUACAGAGAUCAGAAAGAGGUGCCCUGGUGGUGCAGCAGUUAAGAGCUACAGUUGCUAACCAAAAGGUCGGCAGUUGGAAUCCACCAGCCCCUCCUUGGAAACCCUAUGGAGAGUUCUAUUCUGUCCCAUAGGGUUGCCAAGAGUUGGAAUCUCCGUGAGGGCAAUUGGUUUGGGCUGCAUUUAGAGGUCAGAAAUCCAAAAACAAUCUCAUGGGUCUAAAGAUAAGGUGUUGGCAGGGCUAGUUCCUUCUGGACAUUCUAGGGGAGAAUUUAUUUUCUUAUUUUUUCCAGCUUUCCAAGGUUGCCUGCAUCUCUUGGCUCAUAGUCCCUUCCUCCAUCUUCAAAGCCAGCAGCAUAGUAUCUUCAAUCGCUUUCUCUGACCUCAGCUUCAGUUAUCACACCUCCUUCUGACUCUGACCCUCCUGCCUCCCUCUUACGUUGGGCUCACCUGGGUAAUCCAGGAUAACCUCGCUAUCUCAGCGUCCUUAACUCAAUCGCGCUUACAAUUAACCUUUUACCAUGUAAGUUAACACAUUCACAGGUUCCAGGGAUUAGGAUGUGGACAUUUUUGGAGGGCCAUUAUUCUGUCUACCACAAUAAAUAUUUGCUCUUUUGAAUUAGGGAUUUUAGUAUGAGUUGAUGUUCAACUGAUGGGAUUUUUUUUUUUAUUGUGCUUUACGUGAAAGUUUACAAAUCAAGUCAGUCUCUCAUACAAAAAGCCGUACACACUUUGCUAUGCACUCCUAGCUGCUCUUCUCCUAGUGAGACAGUACAUUCCUCCUCUCCACCCUGUAUUCCCCGUGUCCAUUCAGUCAGCUCCUGUCCUCCUCUUCUUUCUCAUCUCACCACCAGACAGGAGUUGCCCACAUGGACUCAAGUGUCCCCUUGAGCCAAGAAGCUCACUCAUCACCAGUAUCAUUUUCUAUCUUAUUGUCCAGUCGAAUCCUGUCUGUAGAGUUGGCUUCAGGAAUGGUUCCAAUCUUGGGCUAACAAAGGGUCUGGGGACCAUGACUGUCAGGGUCCGUCCAGUCUCAGUUAGACCAUUAAGCCUGGUCUUUUUAUGAGAAUUUGAGACCUGCAUCCCACUGUUCUCCUGCUCCAUCAGGGAUUCUCUGUUUUGUUCCCUGUCGGUGGUAGCCAGGCACCAUCUAGUUCUCCUGGUCUCAGGCUAAUGGAGUCUCUGGUUUAUGUGCCCCUUUCUGUCUUUUGGGUUCAUCUUUACCAUAUGUCUUUGGUAUUCUUCAUUCUCUUUUGCUCCUGGUAGGUUGAGACAAUUGAUGCAUCUUAGAUGGCCUCUUGCUAGCGUUUAAGACCCCAGAUGCCUCUCACCAAAGGGGAUGUGGAACAUUUUCUUAAUACUUUUUUUUUUAAUUUUUAUUGUGCUUUAAGUGAAAGUUUACAAAUCAGGUCAGUCUCUCAUACAAAAAUUUAUAUACACCUUGCUAUGUACUCCUAGUUGCUCUCCCCCUAAUAAGACAGCAUACUCCUUCCCUCCACUCUCUUUUUUUGUGUCCAUUCCGCCAGCUUCAAACCCCCUCUGCCCUUUCAUCUCCCUUCCAGACAGGAGAUGUCCACAUAGUCUCAUGUGUCUACAUGAGCCAAGAAGCUCACUCUUCACCAGUAUCAUUUUCUCUCCCAUAGUCCAAUCCAAUCCCUGUCUGAAGAGUUGUCUUUGGGAAUGGUCCCUGUCUUGGGCUAACAGAAGGUCUGGGGACCAUGACCACGGGGGUCCUUCUAGUCUCAGUCAGACCAUUAAGUCUGGUUUUUUUUAACAAGAAUUUGGGGUUUGCAUUCCACUGCUCUCCUGCUCCAUCAGGGGCUCUCUUUGUGUCCCCUGUCAGGGCAGUCAUCGGUUGUAGCUGGGCACCACCUAGGUUCUUCUGGUCUCAGGCUAAUGUAGUCUCUGGUUUACGUGGCCCUUUCUGUCUCUUGGGCUCAUAAUUACCUUGUGUCUUUGGUGUUCUUCAUUCUUCUUUGAUCCAGGUGGGUUGAGACCAAUUGACGCAUCUUAGAUGGCGGCUUGCUAGCAUUUAAGACUCCAGACGCCACUCUCCAAAGUGGGAUGCAGAAUAUUUUCUUAAUAGAUUUUAUUAUGCCAAUUGACUUAGAUGUGCCCUGAACCAUGGUCCCCAAACUCCCGCCCUGCUAUGCUGGCCUUCGAAGUGUUCAGUUUAUUCAGGAAACUUCUUUACUUUUAGUUUAGUCCGGUUGUGCUGACCUCUCCGGUAUUGUGUGUUGUCUUUCCCUUCACCUAAAGUAGUUCUUAUCUACUCUAGUGAAAACACCUCUCCCUUCCUCCCUCCCUCCUCACUCUCAUAACCAUCAAAGAAUAUUUUCUUCUCUGUUUAAACUAUUUCUCGAGUUCUUAUAAUAGUGGUCUUAUACAAUAUUUGUCCUUUGCAACUGACUAAUUUCACUCAGCAUAAUGCCUUCCAGAUUCCUCCAUGUUAUGAAAUGUUUCACGGAUUCAUCAUCGUUCUUUAUAGAUGUGUAGUAUUCCAUUGUGUGACUACACCAUAAUUUAUUUAUCCAUUCAUCUGUUGAUGGGCACCUUGGUUGCUUCCAUCUUUUUCCUAUUGUAAACAGUGCUGCAAUGAAUAUGGGUGUGCCUAUAUCUGUUUGUGUAAAGGCUCUUAUUUCUCUAGGAUAUAUUCCAAGAGGUUGGAUUGCUGGAUCAUAUGGUAGUUAUAUAUCUAGUUUUUUAAGGAAGCACCAGAUCGAUUUCCAAAGUGGUUGUACCAUUUUACAUUCCCACCAGCACUGUAUAACUGUUCCAGUCUCUCCACAACCUCUCUAACAUUUAUUAUUUUGUGUUUUUUGGAAUAAUGCCAGCUUUGUUGGAGUGAGAUGGAAUCUCACGGUGGUUUUGAUUUGCAUUUCUCUAAUGGCUAAUGAUUGUGAGCAUUUCCUCAUGUGCCUGUUGGCUACCUGAAUGUCUUCCUUAGUGAAGUGGCCGUUCAUAUCCUUUCCCCAUUUUUUAAUUGGGUUAUUUGUCCUUUUGUGGUUAAGUUUUUGUAGUAUCAUGUAGAUUUUAGAAAUCAGAUGCAGAGCGGAAAUGUCAUAGCUAAAAACUUUUUCCCAGUCUGUAGGUAAUCUUAUUACUCUUUUGCUGUGAUCUUUGGAUGAGCAUAGGUGUUUGAUUUUUAGGAGCUCCCAGCUAUCUAGUUUCUCUUCUGCAUUGUUAGUAAUGUUUUGUAUACUGUUUAUGCCAGGUAUUAGGGCUCCUAACAUCCCUAUUUUUCCUUCCAUGAUCUUUAUCAUUUUAGAUUUUAUAUUUAGGUCUUUGAUCCAUUUUGAGUUCAUUUUUGUGCAUGGAGUGAGGUAUGGAUCUUGUUUCAUUUUUUUGCAGAUGGAUAUCCAGUUAUGCCAGCACCAUCUGUUAAAGAGACUGUUUUUUCCCCCAUUUAACUGGCUUUGGGCCUUUGUCAAAUAUUAGCUGCUCAUAUGUGGAUGGAUUUAUAUCUAGAUUCCCAAUUCUGCUCCAUUGGUCCAUGUAUCUGUUGUACCAGUACCAGGCUGUUUUGACUACCGUGGUGGUAUAACAGGUUCUAAAAUCAGGUAGAGUAAGGCCUCCAAUUUUGCUUUUCUUUUUCAUUAAUGCUUUACUUAUCUGGGGCCUCUUUCCCUUCCAUAUGAUGUUGGUGAUUUGUUUCUCCAUCUCAUUGAAAAAUGUCGUUGGAAUUUGGAUGGGAAUUGCAUUAUAUCUAUAGAUGGCUUUUGGUAGAAUAGACAUUUUUACAAUGUUAAGUCUUCCUAUCCAUGAGCAAGGUAUCUUUUUCCACUUGUGUAAGUCUUUUUUGGUUUCUUGCAGUUUUUUUGCAGUAGCGUCUUGUAGUUGUCUUUGUAUAGGUCUUUUACAUCUCUGGUGAGAUUUAUCCCUAAGCAUUUUAUCAUCUUGGGGGCUACUGUAAAUGGUAUUGAUUUGGUGAUUUCCUCCUCGAUGUUCUUUUUGUUGGUGUAAAGGAAUCCAACUGAUUUUUGCAUGUUUAUCUUGUAUCCUGAUACUCUGAAGCUGUGUGGGCCAAGGCUUUUUUUUUUUGUUGGGAGUUUUUGAUGACCUUUUCAAUCUCUUCUUUUGUUAUGGGUCUAUUUAAUUGUUCUACUUCUGUUUGUGUUAGUUUAGGUAGGUGCUGUGUUUCUAGGAACUCAUAACUGAUGGGAUAUUAACUAAGGAUCAUCAUGAUGAGACUUCUUAUCUUAAUGAUUAUUAAAAUGUUCACAGAGCUAUUUUGCUUUUUAGUAGAGAAAUGGCGGUGGUCUGGACAAGCAAAAAUUCCGAACUCGAGAUGAGGAGAUAAUAGUACAUUUACUUGUACCAAAGGAUCAUACUAAAAUACAUAACCUCAGGCUUCAAAUCGUUGCUAAAAAAUUAGAAGAUGUCUUCCUCAAGAUUUGUUCCACUCUUUUUUUCUUUAAGAGAGAGACAUUUGAAGUGGACUUUUGGGAAAAUUUCUUCCCUUUUGGGAGUUUUGGAAAACUCUGAUACAUACACGCAAUCAACUUGUCCGAGAAGCUGCUUUAGCAACACAAAGAGGUCAGUCCCGGGCCUCAAGUGGCUUAUGGUUUAGUUCUAAGUGACAGGUGUGUAAGCUUAUGAGAACUAUCAAUAGAUGUCUGCCCAUGAGGAUGUAGGAACACAGAGGCUGGGGGUCAAGAUGUGACUUGUGAUUCCUCACAACCUUUCUGGAGGAAGUGAUGCCCGCUCUAAAUCUUGGAAGGUCAGUGGGGUUUGGCCAGGGGAAGAAGAUGGAAAGGGCAUCCCAUGCAAAACUCCAUAUGCGUUAACUCAGUGAAGAAAGAAACUGUUUGACUUACCUAUAUGUGAACUGCAGUUCUGUAGAGCUGAAAAGAAAAGUGUGUAAAUGGAGAGGCAAGAGACGAGACAGAGAAAUCUUGAAAAGCCUCAUACACCUGACUAAGGAAUACAAUGUUCCUAAAAACUGGGGAGGGGCUCACCUGAGAACCUUGAGCUGGGAAGGGAUUUUAUCCAAAUCUUAUCUUAAAAGGUCGUCCUAUGAGCUUUGGAAAAUAGAUGAAGGAGGGCAGAAUAAAAGCAUGGAGACUCUGAGGAGGUUAGCCGAGUGGUCUCAAUCAGGGCAGGGGCAGUCAGAAUAGAAAAGAAAGAACAAGUUUCUGUGUUUGGUAAAAUACUCAAUCAUAAAGCAAUCUGACUCUUGAAUAGUGGUAAGAUGUAUAUUAUUUAUUCAGAAAGAAGGUAAUUUCUAAAAAUAACCCUUGACCAUAAAAUAUUAUUGUAAAAGUAAAAGAGUAUGUUUCUCUUCUGAUGCUGGAUGUCAGUGGAAUCUCUUUAUCAUAUUAUCAUUGUUAUUAGGUGCUGUCGAGUUGAUUUCAACUCACAGGGACCCCAUCUGACAGAGUAAACUACUUCAUAAGGUUUUCUAGAGUAUAAUCUUUAUUGGAAGAGAUUGCCAGGUCUUUCUCCUGAGAAGUGGCUAGGUGGGUUUGAACCUUUAACUUUUCAGUUAGCAACCACCAGGGCUCUUUUUUUUUUUUUUUAAUGGGAUUUAAGUGAAAGUUUAAAAAUCCAGUCAGUCUCUCAUACAAAAAUUUAUAUACAUCUUGCUGUGUACUCCUAGUUGCUCUCCCCCUAAUGAGACAGCACACUCCUCCUCUUCACCCUGCAUUCCCCAUGUCCAUUCAGCCAGCUCCUGUCCCCCUCUGCCUUCUCAUCUUGCCUCCAUACCGGAGCUGCCCACACAGUCUCAGGUGUCUUCUUAAGCCAAGAAGCUCACUCCUCACCACUAUCUUUUUCUGUCUUAUAGUCCAGUCCAAUCCCUGUCUGAAGAGUUGGCUUUGGGAAUGGUUCCAGUCUUGGGCUAACAGAAGGUCCAGGGACCAUGACCUCCGGGUCCUUCUAGUCUCAGGCAAACCAUUAAGUCCAGUCUUUCUAUGAGACUUUGAGGUCUGCAUUCCACUGUUCCCCUGCUCCAUCAGGGAUUCUCUGUUGUGUUCCCUGUCAAGGCACUCAUCAAUUGUAGCCAGGCACCAUCUAGUUCUUCUGGUCUCAGGCUGAUGUAGCCUCUGAUUUUUGUGGCCUUUUCUGUCUCUUGGGCUCAUAAUUACCUUGUGUCUUUGGUGUUCUUCGUUUUCUUUUGCUCCAAGUGGGUUGAGACCAAUUGAUGCAUCUUAGAUGGUAGCUUGCUAGCAUUUGAGACCCCAGAUGAAGGGCUCUUUCUUUAUGAUAUGAGUGCACGGGAUUGUAUUCUAGCACAUUACCGGGAACAUUGUUUACUGUUUUCAGUUUGGGUAAAAAAACAUUAUACGGUUUAGAUGUGUUUUUGUGGGUUCUCUGGGUAUGGUCAUAGACUGAUACUUACUGUGACAAGGGAAGCGCAUCACCCUGCAAAGAACAAGGCCUAGAUAUGAGAAGACCCUGGCACAGUCCUUCCUUUGCUAUCAACCUGAGAUUGACCACAGAAAAGGUUAUUUAACUUUCUGAGGCUCCCUUUCCUCAGCCAUUCAAAAAGGAAAUAUGGCGCCUGUCCUAUAUAUCACAAGGAACUUGGGAGAGGGAAUACAAGCCAUCGGACAAGAAAUUGCCUUACAAAAGCUUUGGGGCCAUAUUGGGAAGUGCUGUGUUGUCAAGGAAAUUAUGGGCUUUGGAUUUGGCUAGAUCUGGGUUCAAACUCUAACCGGAAAUAAUUUGGGGCAAGUUGAUUCACUUCUCUGAGUUUUGGCUUCCUUAUGUCGAUAGUGGGCACAAUAGCAUCUAUUUCGGUAUUAUAGCAAAACACACAAAAAUUCACAGAUAUAAAAGAUGCUUGGUUUAUGUGAGUUCUCUCUUCCUUUGUAAGGGAAGAGCAGCAGUUAAGAACUUUGCUCUGUUUCUACUAGCCUAGGAUUUAGCUUUUCUGGUGGGAUUGAGGAGGAUGAAGGGGGUGGAGGUGAGGCGGCUGGCUGUCGCAUUCCCACUGUGUCCUCAUUGUCUGCUGGGUGAGGAAGACAGAUUCUCUUCAGUGCUCCUGUGUGCCGUCUCUGUCAGGGGCUCCUAUCUGCCUUGGUCCUUGAGGGAAAACAUCUGCUGCUGUUGCUGAGGUUUCUCCAUCGUCAUUUGUCUGCAAAUUUGCUUUUGUUUAUUUGAAAUUUUCAUGGAUCAUUUUAGUAGCCUCCCACCUGACUUUUUCGAUAUUCUCCUACCCCGUCUUCACAGUUCACAUAUUCUAUUUUGUUUUCAUGCCUACCUCAUUUAUCUUCUUAUCAGGUGUUUUGUUUUGGUGGAGAUUUUGCCAAAGUCUUAUCUGUUGCUUCUGUCUUGGAUUUCCCAGCUUUGCACAAAGAAAACUCUUCAGGCACCAGACGUGACCUGCUUUUCUAUUAUUUUAUAUUUUCCUUUCCUUUCUCACUCCUUUUUUCUCUGGCCUAGUUCCAAAUAUGUCCCUCUCUUCUGGGUUAAAUGUCAUUUUUCCUUAGCACCACCUCCAGGACAUACUUUGGCUUCCUCUUCCUGGGAUGACUUCCCUCCCCUUGACUCUGCAUCACUGACAGCUACAGGCCCAGUGCCCGUCCCAUUCCUGGAAGGCAUCUCUGGCUUGCAACCAUUGCAGGAGGCAUUUUUCCCUUUUCCAGUGAGCAUAGCUUAAUAGCACCUAGAGGAUUUUUUAGGGAGUCGUGCUUAAGGAUGAGGGCAGUGGUAGUUCAGUGGUAAAAUUCUUGCUUUCCAUGUCGGAGACCUGGAUUCAAUUCCUACCAAUGCACCUGCUGCAGCGCCACCACCUGUCUCAGUGGAGGCUUGCAGGUAGCUAGGAUGCUGAACAAGUUUCAGGGGAGCCUCCAGACUAAGACAGACCAGGAAGAAAAGCCUGGUGAUCUACUUCUGAAAAUGAGCUGAUGAAAACUCUAUGGAUCACAAUGGUCCAGUCCACAAACAAUCAUGGGGAUGGCACAGGGCUUGGCCAAUGUUUUGUUCAGUUGUGCACGAGGGCACCAUGAAUUGGGGCCUUCUUAAUGGCAGCUGACAGCAACAGUACUUGGGGUAGGUGGCACAGGAAAAGUAGGACCUGACACAUUUAGAUGUGGUAACAUGUAUGAAGCACUUCAUAGUAAAAAAAAAAUAAUUAUGGCAGCUGACAACAACAGUACUUGGGGUAGAUGGCACAGGAAAAGUAGGACCUGACACAUUUAGAUGUGGUAACAUGUAUGAAGCACUUCAUAGUACCUACCACAUAUUAAGUGCUUGACCAUUAGUACUAUCUAUUACUGGUUCGUUGUGGGAUGGCGUUUAGGGCAGCUGAGAUGGGACUACUUUACAAUACUUGGGGACUGUUGAACUUACUCCUAUGUUGAUCUAGUCACAGGACAUUUUAAGCUCAAUGGUAGGUUCCUUCUUCCUUAUUGUUUUAACUAAAAAUAAGUGCAAAUGCUUUACUUUCAAUUUCAUUUAAUUCACUGACCAGCGUGAACUUGAUCUAAAACUGUCAGAGUUAGAAAUAUUUUUCUCUGCUGUUUUUAUAUCAUAUUUCUUCCUUUUCUGUUUAAAUCUGUGCUUCUAUAGCACUUCUUGGGAAACUUGGUGGCAUAGUCAUUAAGAACUACAGCUGCUAACCAAAAGGUUGGCAGUUCGAAUCCACCAGGUGCUCCUUGGAAACACUGUGGGGCAGGUUUGCUAUGCCUUAUAGGGUCACUAUGAGUUGGAAUUGACUUGACGACAAUGAGUUUGAUUUGGUUUGGUUUUAUAGCUUUUCUUACGGUCAGAUUUGUAUUAUAGUUUCCCGUGCAUCGUUUGUUCUUUCUGAGGGACAGCAAGUUGUUGACAAUCAGGAAGCAUCUUUGGAUCUUACCAGAAUUAGCAGAGCAUCUUGUAUAUAGCAGGCACUCUUCACUGCUGGGAGUUCCUGAGUGGUAUAAAAGGUUAAGUUGCUUGGCUGCUAACCAAAAAGUUGGAGGUUCUAUUUUACCCAGAGGCACCUCAGAAGAAAGUCCCAGCAAAUGACUUCUGAAAAAUUAGCUAUUGAAAACUCUAUGGAAAAUGACAAUUUACCUCAAGAAAUAAUGUCUUGAGGCUUUUGUCUUGUUGAAGAAUUAUCUAUACACAAUUGGCAUGACAAUAGUAACUCUAAACCACAGAUGAGAACUUCAAGGGACAGGGAAUAUAAAUCGAUGGUGAUGCAACAAUUGGGGCAGAAAUACUGAGAAUCAUGACACAAUGUGAAUAAUGUAACCAUUGUCAAGGAACUGUACAUGUAAAAAUUGUUAAAUGAGUGUAUGUUCUGUUGUGUAUAUUCUCACUCCCCCCUGAAAAAAAAGAAAAACAUUCCCGAAACUCUGUGGAGCAUGAUUUUACUCUGACAUACACGGGGUCACCAUGAGUCAGAAUCAACUUCACAGCAAGUGGUAGGACUGGUACUCUUCACUGCUAAAUACAAGUAAUUCCCAACUUAGGAUGUAUUUGAGUUACCACAAACCACACUUAAGACAUCCUUUUUUUUCUUUUUGUACAUUUUAUCAUUAGUAAUGUGUAGUACAUACAAUGUCCUAGAGUGUAAUUUUCUUCCUUUCAAGAUUCUGCUGUGACUUAAUAAUGCCCCAGGAUGUUCUCCUCACAUAAACCAAAAAACCAAACCGGGUGCCGUCGAGUCGAUUCCGACUCAUAGCGAGCCUAUAGGACAGAGUAGAACUGCCCCAUAGAGUUUCCAAGGAGCACCUGGUGGAUUUGAACUGCCGACCUCUUGGUUAGCAGCCGUAGCACUUAACCUCUACGCCACCAGAGUUUCCAACACAUAGAUGAUCUAAAUCAAGACGUGAAAGUGGUGUAUCUACCUCCCAAUGCGACAGGUGUGGUUCAGCAUAUAGGUCAAGGUGCAGUCACCACCUUCAAGGCAUUGUGUCUACGUACAGACUACGUUUGCUCAGGCAAUAGCUGCAACAGAUGGAGGUAUGAUAACGUUAUGUGAUUUCUGGAAGAAUUAUAAUAUUCUUCAGCGUAUCUGGAACAUUACAUCUUGUUGGGAGAAAAUUACAGGAAAAUGCAUAUAAGGAAUAUGGAAAAAAUUGCUGAGUUAUGUGAGCACUCUCCAGGCAUUUAAUUAGGAUAAUAUGAGGGAAGAGAUUGGCGGAAAAAUCAUCCAUAAGGUGAGAACACUGAAUUUAGGACUUGAUGUGGCCAACAUAGAACAGCUUGUAGAUCAUGAAGAAGGGGAAUCGAAAGAUCAGGACUCAAAGAAUUUUGAAGAGGAAAGAAAUGCUGAAGAAGAAAGAAAUAAUGAGGAAGAGGAAGGAGAGAAACUUUAGAGUGAAAGGAUCAGCUGAAGUUUUCUCUAAACUAAAUAAGGGCUUCAGUUGCUUGAAAACAUGGACCCAAAUGCUGAUUUCUUUGCUAAAGUUGAUAGGCAGAUUCAGGAAGCAGUGAGAUGUUACUGCAAAAUAUCUGAAGAAUAAAAGAAAAAGUCUGUACGGACGACUGGAAAUCCUGGUGGCAUAGUGGUUAAGAGCUACGACUGCUAACCAAAAGAUGGGCAGCUUGAAUCCACCAGGCACUCCUUGGAAACCAUAUGGGGCAGUCCUACUCUGUACUAUAGGAAUUGACUUGAUGCAAUGGGUAUUUAUAUACACACAACUUUCACUAAUUUUCUGACUAGAAAUGCCAUCCCCAUUCCCAGGGAUAAUGCAGAUGAUUUAGAACCUUCCACAAGUGGAGUUAUUACCAUAACUGACAAAAUGCCAAUGUAGUCCAUCUCUUCAUCGUCACAGUAAAUUUUUAUGAUUUAUAUAUGAAUUAAAAUACAUCUCUAAGUUUAUAUGUAAUGUUUCCAACCCCUAAAGACAAAGAGAGAUCAGAUUUAUAAAGAUAUUGAUAAUAAAAAGCAAUAAUAAUGAAAAAUCAGAAAAAAAUGAGGUUUUUGACUUAAAGUCAGAACCAUCUUAUGACUGAGUGGUCAGAACGGACGUCCAGUGUAAGUCCUGAAAUACCUGCAAAUUAAAUAAAGUUGUCUGUCCCAUUACUGGGGACCAAAUACCAACUAAGGUCCAUGUAAGGAAAUAAUAAUCUCAUAGAGCGUCUGUAAAACGUUAUUGCCAAAGUUUCUGCUAAUGUGCUGGAGCUGGCUUGUGUGGUUUUGGGAAAGCAGAUAAUUAAAUAUCCAAGAAAUUGGUGAGGUGGUUGUUAAAGUACUGGGAACUUGAAAUUGUCUUUGUGGAGAGUGUUUACACAAUGGAAACCAGCAAAAGUUACAAAUUAUGAAUUUUUUUUUUUUCCUUUUGCGAGCUGGUUUACCAGCACUCCCUUGAUGAGACCACAUUAUUGAGCCUGGACACCUGGUGAAAAAGGCAAACCUUGAGCAAUGGAAAUGACUUCAUUGGCUGUAGCCAAGAUUUCCUUAAACAACCAAGGUUUGCUAUGAAAGGCUAGGCGGAAGCCCAGUCCGCAAACUGCAGGCGGGCAGUUAGACAUCUUGCUAAACAAGAUGAGUUCAGGGUCUUCCUCAAAAACAAAAACAAAACUUGACCACAGCCGAAGAUCGCAAGAUAGAGAGCUUCUCACAGGCAAUUUCCUCAAAUGGCAAAGCUAGUUCAAGGUAUUUGGAAGCAGUAAAAUCUAUAUUGUGGUCUGUCCGGUGGCUCUUAAUGUUUAAAAAUAUUCCCUUUUCCUGGCAUAGACAGUAUUAAGUCUAUGGCCGUUUUAAACAGCACUUUUAAAAAAUAUUGUGUUAGACAAGAGCAGUAGAAGAUGUAUUUUGAGUUAUGCAAAACAUAUCAAAGUCAGAUGCGGAAAUUAAAAACCACUUCUCACUUUCUAAUUUCUAGCAGAGUUAAUGAUGCAAUGGAUGAGUGAUUCCUCAGUCAACCUUAUCUGCAAAGCCGAUUUAAAACACCUUUCUUAGUAUUGUAUCUGCUAGUCCGUGAAUAAUACUUACAGAGAACUUGUUAGUCACUAAAUUCUUUAAAUAGUGGUAACCUAGAGAAAGGAAUCCACCACCCGUGUGCCAGUUUGCUGUACUGUGAUGGCUUGUACGUUGCCGUGAUGCUGGAAGCUAUACCACCGGUGUUUCAAAUACCAGCAGGACUACCCACGAUGGACAAGUUUCAACAGAGCUUCCAGAGUAAGGCAGACUAGGAAGAAGGACCUGCUGGUCUACUUCUGAAAAAACUAGCCAAUGAAAACCACAUGAAGAGCAGUGGACCAUUGUCUGAUGUAGCACAGGAAGAUGAGACCGUCGUGUUGGAAGGGACUCAAAAUAAGACUGGGGAAGAGCUGCCUCCUCAAAGUAGAGUCAACUUUAAUGAUGUGAAUGGAGUAAAGCUUUCAGGGAUCUUCAUUUGCUGAUGGGGCAUGACUCAAAAUGAGAAGAAACUGCUGCAAACACCUAUUAAUAAUUGGAAUGUGAAAUGUACGAAGUAUGAAUCUUGGAAAAUCGGCAGUUGUCAAAAAUGAAUGGAACACAGAGAGAUCUAUAUCCUAGGCAUCAGUAAGCUGAAACGGACAGGUAUUGGCCAUUCUAAAUGGGACCAUCAUAUGGUCUACUGUGCUGGGAAUGAAAAAUUGAAGAGGAAUGGUGUCACAGUCAUUGUCAAAAAGCACAUUCGAGAGCGACAAAGAAGCUGUUGUUUGAACAGAAUAAGGGCAUAGUGCGUGGUUUAAAAUCAGGAAAGGUGUGUGCCAGGGUUGUAUCCUUUCACCAUAGUUAUUCAGUCUGUAUGCUGAGCAAAUAAUCUGAGAAUAUGGACUAUAUGAAGAAGAAAAGGGCAUCAGGAUUGGAGGAAGACUCAUUAACAAACUGUGAUAUGCAGAUGACACAACCUUGCUUGCUGAAAGUGAAGAGGACUUAAAGCACUUACUGAUAAAGGUCAAAGACUACAGCCUUCAGUGUGGAUUACACCUCAACAUAAAGAAAACAAAAAUCCUCACAACUGGACCAAUAAGUAAUAUCAUGACAAAUGGAGAAAAGAUUGAUGUUGUCAAGGAUUUCAUCUUGCUUGGAUCCACAAUCAACACCCUUGGAAGCCAAGUAAUCAAACAACAUAUUGCAUUGGGCACAUCUGCUGCAAAAGAUCUCUUUAAGGUGUUGAAAAGCAAAAAUGUCACUUUGAGGACUGCUAUGGAUUGAAUCGUGUCCCCCAAAAAAAUGUGUGUCAACUUGCCUAGGCCAUGAUUCCCAGUAGUGUGUGGUUGUCCACCAUUUUGUGAUCUGACGUAAUUUUCAUAUGUGUUGUAAAUCCUAACCUCUAUGAUAUUAAUGAGGCAGGAUUACAGGCAGUUAUGUUAAUGAGGCAGGACUCGAUCUACAGGAUUAGGCUGUAUCUUGAGUCAAUCUCUUUUGAGAUGUAAAAGAGAGAAUCAAGCAGAGGGGUGGAACUUCAUGCCACAAAGAAAGAAUCACCUGGAGCACAGCGCAAAGUUUGGGCCCCAGGGUUCCUGCAUUGAGAAGCUCCUAGGCCAGGGGAAGAUUGAUGACAAGGAUUUUCCUCUAGAGCCGACAGAGAGAGAAAGCCUUCUCUGGGGCCGGCACCUUGAACUUGGACUUCUAGCCUCCUAAAAUGUGAGAGAAUGAACUCUGUUUGUUAAAGCCAUCCACCUGCGGUGUUUCUGUUAUAGUAGUGCUAGAUGACUGAGACAAGGACUGAAGUGCACCUGACCUAAGCCAUGGCAUUUUCAAUCACCCCACAUGCAUGGGAAAGCUGGACAAUGAAUAAGAAAGACUAAAGAAGAAUUGACGCCUUUGGAUUAUGGUGUUGGCGAAGAAUAUUGAACAUACCAUGGACUGCCAGAAGAAUUGACAAGUUCGUAGAAGUACAGCCAGAGUGCUCCUUGGAAGCAAGGACAGUGAGACUUUGUCUCAUGUACUUUGGACAUAUUAUCAGGAGGGAACAGUCCCUGGAGAAGGACAUCUUGCUUGGUAAGGUGAAACGUUAGUGAAAAAGAAGAACACCUUUGACAAAUGGAUUGAAACGGUGGCUGCAACAAUGGACUCAAAACACAAGCAACAAUUUUGAGGAUGGCGCAGGACCGGGCAGCGUUUUCUUCUGUUGUACGUAGGGUCGCUACGAGUUGGAACCGAUUCGAUGCCACCUAAUGACAACAGAGAGAGGAUUACUAGUCAAGACCACAAGCCUAAAAUAAUUAUUAGAAAGUGAUUUUAAGGCAUUUCUGAAAACUAAUCAAAAUAUCCUUCAUCCUCGCCUUGUGGUAUCAGAGUUGUAUAAUCUGAAUAAAAAUGUUUAAGACGUAGAGGCUAAAAAAAAAAAAGAGACAGAAGGCAGCUGAAAAAGCAUUGCAUUCUGUGCAAAUAUGGUAUUUUCGCUAAAAGUCUUCUGGCAUUAAUGAGGUACACUAAAGAAUUAUGGGAAAGUGGGAGUUACCAAGUGGAUUCAAAAGGUUAAAGUUGUGUGCAGCUUGUAGCUCGCAUAUCAAAUAAUCCUGACUGCUGAAAAGCACCAGGCAAAGACACUCAAUCACCUAGUGCUGCUCUCGAGAGAUCUUUCUCUGGCUCCCCACAAGUGCUCCUUGCUUUUCAGCAGUCCACCGUGUGCGUAAAAUUAACAGCGUGCUGCAGUAGCUUCCAAUGGCAUAAAUGGAGAGUCCCUUAAAGUGAUCUUCCUCUCAUGCUUCUGCAGCCUUCCGGUGAGAAUUACUACUGGCCUCCCCUUAUUUGAGCAGAAAGUGUGAGUUUAAAGGCAGGAACAAAAAAGCUGGGAAUAUAGUAGCUGUCCUCCGUGAAGAACAGAUGCCUGAGUGACUCGUGGGCUGUGUCUGGCCUGAGAAACCCAUUUCACUGAAUACUAAAUCUUCUCCAAAACGUCUUUUGGGAGACUGAAAGUGAUCCAAAUAGCCAUCUCCACUGCAUUUUUUUCAGCUGAACUUUUCAGUUUUCACCUAGUUGUUUUAGCACAACGUAGGCGCAGUCAUAAUCUCUUCCUUCUGUGACUAGGCUAUUUUAUACCAAUUAAAUGCUUUAAAUAAGGCAACUAGAGAUGUAAGGAAAAGUUGAAGAUAGUUUACCAGUAAUUAAAGACCAAGUUGUCUGUGGAGGUGAGAACAGUGAAGAUGAUGAUGGUGGUGGUGAUGAUAAACAUUUAUUGAGCAUUUUUAUUUACUAAUGCCAUUAUAGUAACUUGUUUAACCCUCCCAUACGUUUUUAUUCUCUAGCUACCAUGCUUGUUUCUUCCAGUCAAAGGUCUCUCUCCUGUCAUAACCUUCUCCACCGACUUCCAUGACACAGACAUUGAAGGAAAUAGAGCCAUAGGUUUUAAUUAUUGUCUUGUAUUUAAAUAUCAACCUUUUCAGGUGACCAUUAGUAGUUCUACCUUGAAGAUUCUAACUUUUAUCAAUACAGAGGCCAUUCCUUCUCCUCCUUUUCCUUUUUAACAUAUCUUUAUCUCUUUGUUUAUUUAUUAUUGUAUAAAUACAGAUAACACAUUUUCCAUUUCAACAUUUUUGUGUGUGUGCAAUUUAGUAAGACCAAUUACAUCAAUCAUAUUGUGCAUCUGCCACCAAUAUCUGCUGCCACAUUUCCAUCCUCAUAAAACAAAAACUCAACGCCACCUCAACAGUGACUCCCCUUCCUCCUCCCUCCCAUCCCGGUGACCCUUAUUAAACUCUGAUCUCCAUAUAUUUGUCUAUUCUAGGUAUUUAACAUUAGUGAGAUUAUACAAUAUUUGUCCUCUUGUUAUUGACUGAUUUCACUCGGCCUAAUGUUUUCAAGCUUCAUCCACAUUAUGGCAUGUAUCAGGACUUCAUUUCUCUUUAUGACAGAAUGGUACACAUGAAAGCCGGGAUGCAAACAGAAACCUAUAUGCCAGUGUUCUUUGCAGCAGUAUUCACAAUAGCCAGAAGGUGGAAACAGCCUAAAUGCCCAUCAACGAUGAAUGGAUAAAUCAUAUGGUAUUUUUAAUUACAGAGAAAUGCAUUGAGUGUAUUGGUGAUACUGGUGUUAAUGAAAAACCCUUAUUGAGCCAUUAUGGUAACUCACAGCUAAUGCUUACAAAGUCCUAUGAGAUAGGCAGUGUUUUUAUCUCCAUGUUACACAAGAGGAAAUUGAGG
Long non-coding RNA from Loxodonta africana (African savanna elephant), 20878 nucleotides. RefSeq lists it as uncharacterized. The record is from RefSeq and is a predicted model, not a curated record. The transcript has 4 exons. Lineage: Eukaryota; Metazoa; Chordata; Mammalia; Proboscidea; Elephantidae.